GAUGAAGAACGCAGCGAAAUGCGAUAAGUAAUGUGAAUUGCAGAAUUCAGUGAAUCAUCGAAUCUUUGAACGCACAUUGCGCCCCUUGGUAUUCCAAGGGGCAUGCCUGUUCGAGCGUCAUUAUAACCCCUCAAGCUCAGCUUGGUGUUGGGGCCUGCUGCACUGGCAGCCCUUAAAAUCAGUGGCGGCGCCAUCUGGCUCUAAGCGUAGUAAUUCUUCUCGCUAUGGAGUCCUGGUGGAUGCUUGCCAUCAACCCCCAAUUUUUCUAUGGUUGACCUCGGAUCAGGUAGGGAUACCCGCUGAACUUAAGCAUAUCAAUAAGCGGAGGA
This 329-nucleotide unclassified non-coding RNA is filed under the name soil metagenome. RNAcentral's name for it is "partial contains 5.8S ribosomal RNA, internal transcribed spacer 2, and large subunit ribosomal RNA". The stretch from base 1 to 120 matches the Rfam family "5.8S ribosomal RNA", at positions 35 to 154 of the family's 154-position model. The record is from RNAcentral.